RNAcentral lists this unclassified non-coding RNA (404 nucleotides) under fungal sp. RNAcentral's name for it is "partial internal transcribed spacer region". The stretch from base 1 to 46 matches the Rfam family "Eukaryotic small subunit ribosomal RNA", at positions 1786 to 1831 of the family's 1831-position model. The record is from RNAcentral. Lineage: Eukaryota; Fungi.
AAGUCGUAACAAGGUUUCCGUAGGUGAACCUGCGGAAGGAUCAUUAACACGUAUCCACGUUAAACCAACCGUGCACUUUCAAUUAUGCGUUGUUUUUGAGCUCGAGUUCGAAGACGAUUCGUUUCGGCUCGGCGCUUGCACCGGCUGACGAGAGUGAAACUGGAAGGGUACGGAACUCGACAGUUUCGACGUGGGGCUGGAAAACUCGAUUUAUUUCAAAGGACGAUCCGUUCUGGGCCGGAUCGAAAUUUGUGGUAAUGAGAGGGUUCUGGAACUCUACGGGGUAACUGUCUGAGUUGCACAUCCAUUUCAAACCCCUUAAAAAAAAUUGACAUCCGAGACCUCAGGGUAAAACCGAGGCUCGAGCAACCGAACAACUGUUAACAAUGGAUAUCUUGGUUCUC